This 327-nucleotide ribosomal RNA is filed under the name uncultured eukaryote. RNAcentral's name for it is "partial 18S ribosomal RNA". It matches the Rfam family "Eukaryotic small subunit ribosomal RNA", at positions 1470 to 1796 of the family's 1831-position model. The record is from RNAcentral.
CCCUUAGAUGUUCUGGGCCGCACGCGCGCUACACUGACGAAUGCAACGAGCUUAUAACCUUGGUCGAAAGGUCUGGGUAAUCUCCAAAUUUCGUCGUGAUGGGGAUAGAUUAUUGCAAUUAUUAAUCUUCAACGAGGAAUGCCUAGUAAGCGCAAGUCAUCAGCUUGCGUUGAUUACGUCCCUGCCCUUUGUACACACCGCCCGUCGCUCCUACCGAUUGAAUGGUCCGGUGAAGCGUUCGGACCGUGGCCUUUGGACGGUUCGCCGUCUGUUGGCUGCGGGAAGUUCGUUAAACCUUAUCAUUUAGAGGAAGGAGAAGUCGUAACA